AAGCAGAUGUCCUCUUGGCAGAUACACCACCGACCUCUCGUUCCAGCAAGCUCUGCUCCACCUCAGAGACGAGGAGAGGGACAGUCCCGCUCCUGAGCGGCCAGGCUGAUUUUUAUUAGGCCUUCCUCCGGAAAUAAGAAGUAUGGUGAGGCGAGGUGAUCUUCCCCUGCGGCUGCUGGUGUGGAUUAUGGAGCUGGCAGCAGCAGGAACGCAUUAAGGAAAGCUCCCAGCAACGGCCUUCCAGAAAGGUCCUCAUGAGCCUUCCCCUGCUGCUUUCAUGCUGGCAGCUUCAAUUUUCAAGGCCUUCUCCUGAUCCUGGUGUGACACAGAAAUGGGAGGAUUUGUGUGGACCUGGUACCUGGGCAAGAAACGUUUCUGCUGCAGCUGCAUCCCCAUCCUGCUUGAUGCUACCCCUGCAGACACAGGGUGGCACAAUGCUGACGGCAGCCCCAACACCUGGCAAAAUCACCCAAAGGCUGGACCAUCAGAGCUGGUGGAAGGUCAAUAACUCACAGAGGGAGAAGCCCCUGAAGCAGAACCUGAGAAAGCAGCUGGGCUGGGUUUCAUCCCAUUGAACUCAAGUCAGCGUUUUGUCUGUCUCAGCCAGUGAGAAAAACAGGCACCUUUGGGAACUAUUAAUUGGUAAUAAUUUGAAUUUCUUUUUAAAAUAAAAUUUAAAACAUCCUACAAGCAUACAGACAUGAUAGUUUUCCUCUUACAUGUCCACAGCCAAACCUUGCAUCUAGCCCAAGUCUGGAGGAGGGGAGGAGAUUCCUCUGGCCAUGCCAGUCCUUUUGAUCAUCCAGGGCUUCUAGAGCUCUUUCCAUAAACUCCCCUAAAUCAGGGAAUUGGAAGAAAUAAUGUGCUUUUUCUCAAUAGUUCUCCCCUCCUCCACCAGCUCUAAAGACUCAUCACAGCUUGUCACCCAAAAUGAAGGAUGGAGGCAGCACUGAAAUUCUCCCAUCCUGCCUCUGCCUAGCCGGAGAGCAGGAUGGUACUUCUGACCUCCAGCUGAGGUACACCAGCAUCUUGCCAGCCUAUAAAAUCAAGUUUCACCAAUUAACUUUCAGUAGUGGAGGGUCUAGAAGUACUCAGCUCUAAUCCCAGAUAGUGUGUGACAAUUUUCAGUGUGCUCAUUCCAAGUGUUGAAUGGGCUUCAGUGUUUCCUACAGCUCUGUAAUAUAUGCCACAAAUAUAUAAAUCUUUUCUGUGGUACAGAAGAGAGAAAAUUCUCAAAAUGCUGACUGCAGCAAAAAUAGAAACGUCUCCUCAUCAUCUCCUGGUUUUAGUGGUUUGUGUCUAAAUAUCUCUAGAACUCCAGCCUCACCUAUUGUUUAGAAAUGCCUGUGAUUUCUGUGCUGUUUUCUUGACAGACAGCUAGGAAUCCCUUUGUGAUUUGGAAUUUAACUUCAUCUCACCUUAACCUUCCCCAUCUGACAAAGGUGUUGCCAGGAUUAAUUAAUAGCAUAAGGUGGUGAUUAAUGAGUAGAUAUUACAAAACACAACGUGCCACCGGAUGCUGAGGAUUUUUGGGGAAGUUUGGAGAUCUGCAUUCCUAAGGAGCUAGUCUGAGCUUGACCUCUCUCAAUUAUAAAAUCGUCAUACAUACUCCACGAAAUGGAAAUGUUCUCUCAUGUUCACUUUUGGUAAC
This is a long non-coding RNA of Parus major (Great Tit), 1651 nucleotides long. RefSeq lists it as uncharacterized. Lineage: Eukaryota; Metazoa; Chordata; Aves; Passeriformes; Paridae. The transcript has 3 exons. The record is from RefSeq and is a predicted model, not a curated record.